AAUAAGUUGUGGAUAAGUAAAUAAUACUUGUGGAUCUUUCGAAAUGUGUGGAUAAAAAGUGACUUAAGUGUUUAUAAACAGUUUAUGAACAUGAGCCAAACAUAGGCUAAGUAAAGGUCAUGAAGAUGUGUAUUACAUAAUAUUAGGCUAAUUAUGCUAUAUGUACAUAGCAGGUCAUUAGAUGACGAGAUAUCGACAUAAUUAAUCAUAGCAGAAAUAUAUAUACUAAAAUGAGUGUG
This 239-nucleotide long non-coding RNA is filed under the name Olea europaea (common olive). RNAcentral describes it as "long non-coding RNA (OEUR_LNC009893)". The record is from RNAcentral. Lineage: Eukaryota; Viridiplantae; Streptophyta; Magnoliopsida; Lamiales; Oleaceae.